UUAAGUAUUGGGGUAGGUCUGCCCGGAUAGAGGGGGGUAACUACUGGAAACGGGUAGGUGAUACCGCAUAAUGUCUACGGACCAAAGCAGGGGCUCUUCGGACCUUGCACUAUCGGAUGAACCCAUAUGGGAUUAGCUAGUAGGUGGGGUAAAGGCUCACCUAGGCGACGAUCUCUAGCUGGUCUGAGAGGAUGAUCAGCCACACUGGGACUGAGACACGGCCCAG
RNAcentral lists this ribosomal RNA (226 nucleotides) under uncultured bacterium. RNAcentral describes it as "partial 16S ribosomal RNA". It matches the Rfam family "Bacterial small subunit ribosomal RNA", at positions 109 to 334 of the family's 1533-position model. The record is from RNAcentral.